This 408-nucleotide ribosomal RNA is filed under the name uncultured Peyronellaea. RNAcentral describes it as "eukaryotic LSU rRNA". The stretch from base 79 to 232 matches the Rfam family "5.8S ribosomal RNA". Lineage: Eukaryota; Fungi; Ascomycota; Dothideomycetes; Pleosporales; Didymellaceae. The record is from RNAcentral.
UCGGCGGGUUCGCCCGCCGAUUGGACAAUUUAAACCAUUUGCAGUUGCAAUCAGCGUCUGAAAAAACAUAAUAGUUACAACUUUCAACAACGGAUCUCUUGGUUCUGGCAUCGAUGAAGAACGCAGCGAAAUGCGAUAAGUAGUGUGAAUUGCAGAAUUCAGUGAAUCAUCGAAUCUUUGAACGCACAUUGCGCCCCUUGGUAUUCCAUGGGGCAUGCCUGUUCGAGCGUCAUUUGUACCUUCAAGCUCUGCUUGGUGUUGGGUGUUUGUCUCGCCUCUGCGCGUAGACUCGCCUCAAAACAAUUGGCAGCCGGCGUAUUGAUUUCGGAGCGCAGUACAUCUCGCGCUUUGCAUUCAGAACGACGACGUCCAAAAGUACAUUUUUACACUCUUGACCUCGGAUCAGGU